UUGUCUCAAAGAUUAAGCCAUGCAUGUCUAAGUAUAAGCAAUUAUACAGCGAAACUGCGAAUGGCUCAUUAUAUAAGUUAUCGUUUAUUUGAUAGUACCUUACUACUUGGAUAACCGUGGUAAUUCUAGAGCUAAUACAUGCUAAAAAUCCCGACUUCGGAAGGGAUGUGUUUAUUAGAUUAAAAACCAAUGCCCUCCGGGGCUCCUUGGUGAUUCAUGAUAACUAUUCGAAUCGCAUGGCCUUGCGCCGGCGAUGGUUCAUUCAAAUUUCUUCCCUAUCAACUUUCGAUGUUUGGGUAUUGGCCAAACAUGGUUGCAACGGGUAACGGAGGGUUAGGGCUCGACCCCGGAGAAGGAGCCUGAGAAACGGCUACUACAUCCAAGGAAGGCAGCAGGCGCGCAAAUUACCCAAUCCCGACACGGGGAGGUAGUGACAAUAAAUACUGAUACAGGGCUCUUUUGGGUCUUGUAAUUGGAAUGAGUACAAUUUAAAUCUCUUAACGAGGAACAAUUGGAGGGCAAGUCUGGUGCCAGCAGCCGCGGUAAUUCCAGCUCCAAUAGCGUAUAUUAAAGUUGUUGUGGUUAAAAAGCU
RNAcentral lists this ribosomal RNA (592 nucleotides) under Thelonectria sp. RNAcentral describes it as "SSU rRNA". It matches the Rfam family "Eukaryotic small subunit ribosomal RNA", at positions 32 to 628 of the family's 1831-position model. The record is from RNAcentral. Lineage: Eukaryota; Fungi; Ascomycota; Sordariomycetes; Hypocreales; Nectriaceae.